This 57-nucleotide transfer RNA is filed under the name Ovis aries (sheep). It matches the Rfam family "tRNA", at positions 8 to 63 of the family's 71-position model. From Rfam's summary of the family: Transfer RNA (tRNA) molecules are approximately 80 nucleotides in length. Their secondary structure includes four short double-helical elements and three loops (D, anti-codon, and T loops). The record is from Rfam by way of RNAcentral. Lineage: Eukaryota; Metazoa; Chordata; Mammalia; Artiodactyla; Bovidae.
UGGCUCAGAGAUUAAAGCGUCUGCCUGCGAUGCAGGAGACCCAGGUUCGAUCCCUGG